GGUGGCAGAGCUCAGUGGUAGGGCAUGUGCUGACGUGCAUGAGGUCCUGAGUUUAAUCCCCAGUACCUCCA
RNAcentral lists this transfer RNA (71 nucleotides) under Camelus bactrianus (Bactrian camel). It matches the Rfam family "tRNA". From Rfam's summary of the family: Transfer RNA (tRNA) molecules are approximately 80 nucleotides in length. Their secondary structure includes four short double-helical elements and three loops (D, anti-codon, and T loops). RNAcentral also lists the same sequence under 1 other name. The record is from Rfam by way of RNAcentral. Lineage: Eukaryota; Metazoa; Chordata; Mammalia; Artiodactyla; Camelidae.